AUUGAACGCUAGCGGGAUGCCUUACACAUGCAAGUCGAACGGCAGCGGGAAGUUAGCUUGCUACUUUGCCGGCGAGUGGCGAACGGGUGAGUAAUGUAUCGGAACGUGCCCAGUAGCGGGGGAUAACUACGCGAAAGCGUGGCUAAUACCGCAUACGCCUACGGGGAAAGGGGGGACGUCUUCGGAGCCUCUCACUAUUGGAGCGGCCGAUAUCGGAUUAGCUAGUUGGUGGGGUAAAGGCCGU
This 244-nucleotide ribosomal RNA is filed under the name uncultured bacterium. Its description in RNAcentral is "partial 16S ribosomal RNA". It matches the Rfam family "Bacterial small subunit ribosomal RNA", at positions 30 to 267 of the family's 1533-position model. The record is from RNAcentral.